This 75-nucleotide transfer RNA is filed under the name Diabrotica virgifera virgifera (western corn rootworm). Its description in RNAcentral is "transfer RNA valine (anticodon AAC)". It matches the Rfam family "tRNA". Rfam says of the family: Transfer RNA (tRNA) molecules are approximately 80 nucleotides in length. Their secondary structure includes four short double-helical elements and three loops (D, anti-codon, and T loops). The record is from RNAcentral. Lineage: Eukaryota; Metazoa; Arthropoda; Insecta; Coleoptera; Chrysomelidae.
GUUAGACCGUGGUGUAGUGGCUAUCACGUCCACCUAACACGUGGAAGGACCCCGGUUCGAAUCCGGGCGGUGACA